GAUGAACGCUGGCGGCGUGCCUAAUACAUGCAAGUCGAGCGAAUGGAUUAAGAGCUUGCUCUUAUGAAGUUAGCGGCGGACGGGUGAGUAACACGUGGGUAACCUGCCCAUAAGACUGGGAUAACUCCGGGAAACCGGGGCUAAUACCGGAUAACAUUUUGAACCGCAUGGUUCGAAAUUGAAAGGCGGCUUCGGCUGUCACUUAUGGAUGGACCCGCGUCGCAUUAGCUAGUUGGGGAGGUAACGGCUCACCAAGGCAACGAUGCGUGGCCCACCGGAGAGGGGGCUCGGCAGCAGUAGGACUGAGACACGGCCCAGACUCCUACGGGAGGCAGCAGUAGGUAAUCUUCGGCAAUGGACGAAAGUCUGACGGAGCAACGCCGCGUGAGUGAUGAAGGCUUUCGGGUCGUAGAACUCUGUUGUUAGGGAAGAACAAGUGCUAGUUGAAUAAGCUGGCACCUUGACGGUACCUAACCAGAAAGCCACGGCUAACUACGUGCCAGCCGCCGCAGUAA
RNAcentral lists this ribosomal RNA (515 nucleotides) under uncultured bacterium. RNAcentral's name for it is "partial 16S ribosomal RNA". It matches the Rfam family "Bacterial small subunit ribosomal RNA", at positions 28 to 523 of the family's 1533-position model. The record is from RNAcentral.